GGUAGUGUGGCCGAGCGGUCGACGGCGCUGGAUUAAGCCUCCAGUCUCUUCGGAGGCGUGGGUUCAAAUCCUACCACUGCCA
Dallia pectoralis (Alaska blackfish) is the source of this 82-nucleotide non-coding RNA. NCBI's taxonomy places the organism in Eukaryota, Metazoa, Chordata, Actinopteri, Esociformes, Umbridae. The record is from the annotation of a GenBank genome assembly.